AAGAAAUAAGUUACCAACCGUCCCUAGAGCAAGUGGCAAAAGGCUUGGUGGUUGGUACCCGAGACCCAAGUUCGAAUCCUAAUUGAUUCACAUUUCUAGCUAAGUUUAUUUCUAAAUGACAUAAACGAAGCGGAGAGCGUGCUAUCUAUCUCUCUCAAAAAAAAAGAAAUAAGUUAAAUUGAAUUGGAUUUCCUACUUUCAUUUGAGAAGAAAGAUUUCUUCUUAUAACCAUUCACUACAACAAAAAUGGUCUAUAGCGACACUUUUAAAUGUCGGUAUAGGUCAAAAAAACAUCGCUGGCUAAAUUACCGACAUUUUUAAAAAGUGUUGCUAUAUGUGGGGUUGCUAGAUAUAUAGUGACAGUUAAAGAGUGUCGCUAUAAUCUAAAAAGAGUGCUACUAAUUUACCAACACUUAUUUAAACAUUUAGCAGCCGCCGGAGCUCUACUUCGUUGGCUGCGGUAGCAGAGGAGGACGAGAGAGAAGGCCUCUUCGUCUAGGAUUUCAGUGGAUUGAGUGAGGGGAGAAGGGGAGAUGGUAAUCGAUUUUUCUUUUUUUUUUUCUUUUUUGUUUGUAAUCGGGCUGAAUAGGCUGUGUACGUGGGGUAGGUUGAGUAGAGCAACCUUUUAUUUUUUGUUGGAUUGGGCUUUAUAUUUAGGCAUUAGUAGAUUUUUUUAAAAGUUUUGGCAUAAAUGAAACACUUACACAAAAGUAUCCCAAACAUGUGUCCCUAUAACCUAAUUCUGUUGUAGUGAUUAGGGUAAAUAAGAUAAGUUGGAGACCAUUUAAGAGCAAAUAGGAAAAGUAAGAUAAUGUUAAGAACAAAUAAAAAGUAAGUAAUAGUAGAAUAUAUAUUUAAAUAGG
This 863-nucleotide long non-coding RNA is filed under the name Ananas comosus (pineapple). RNAcentral's name for it is "long non-coding RNA (ACOM_LNC009799)". Lineage: Eukaryota; Viridiplantae; Streptophyta; Magnoliopsida; Poales; Bromeliaceae. The record is from RNAcentral.